Molecule: non-coding RNA, 780 nt
Filed under: Parafronurus sp. XL-2019
Lineage: Eukaryota; Metazoa; Arthropoda; Insecta; Ephemeroptera; Heptageniidae
Description: 12S ribosomal RNA
Rfam family: Bacterial small subunit ribosomal RNA
Source: RNAcentral
UAAAAGUUUUAUUCUAGCUAUGGAAUUUCUUGUUUUGUUGGUUCACAUGUAAGGUUUUCUGGGAUGCCCCUUGGGUCUUAAGGACUGGGCAAAUAAUUUAAUCGCAGUGUUUUGUAUUAAGCAUCAAGGAAACUUGGAGUUAGCAAUUGAAAUAGUCCCGGCAAAAUUCGUGCCAGCCGCCGCGGUUACACGAAAGGGGCAAAGAUAUUUUAUUGGUUUGUAAUUAAUUGGGGUUGGAGGUUGGAAUAGGUGUUUUGUUAGGUGGAAUUUUAAAAUUUUUGUUAGCCAGAUUAUAUUGGAUGAAGUUGCGAAAUUUGGUGGAGAGACUAGGAUUAGAUACCCUAUUAUCCCAAAUGUUAAAAGAGGGCCCGAGUAGUAAGAGAUAAGGUCUUGAAACUCAAAGAAUUUGGCGGUGUUUUAGUCCAUUCAGAGGAAUCUGUCCCGUGAUCGAUAUUCCACGUUUACUUAACUUAGGUUUGUUGUCAGCUUGUAUACCGCCGUUAAAAGAGUGAUUCUAGAGAAUAUCCUCAACGCCCCACAAUAGGGUUUAUAUCAGGUCAAGGUGCAGCUUAUGCUUAAGGGGAGAUGGAUUACAAUAAGGAUACUUAAACGGAAGGUUAUUUGGAAGAAUGACCGGAAGGUGGAUUUGAGUGUAAUAAGGUUUAAGGAAAUUUUGUGAAAGCGGCUCUAAAACAAGCACACAUCGCCCGUCGCUCUCGUUUGUUAAGGCGAGAUAAGUCGUAACAAAGUAGAUGUACCGGAAGGUGCCUCUAGAAAGUC